GACGAACGCUGGCGGCGCGCCUAACACAUGCAAGUCGAACGGAAUUAUUUUCUUUACUCCGAGUUCUUUGCAGGCUUCCGGUAAGCGGCAAUUCAUUUUGCAAAGCAAAAUGAAUUUAGGCUUAUUUAGUAAGACUAACACGGAAGGCAGAGGAUUGGGAGUAAAGAAAAUAAUUUAGUGGCGAACGGGUGAGUAACGCGUGAGUAACCUGCCCUGGAGUGGGGGACAACAGUUGGAAACGACUGCUAAUACCGCAUAAGCCCACGGUACCGCAUGGCACUGAGGGAAAAGGAUUUAUUCGCUUCAGGAUGGACUCGCGUCCAAUUAGCUGGUUGGUGAGGUAACGGCCCACCAAGGCGACGAUUGGUAGCCGGACUGAGAGGUUGAACGGCCACAUUGGGACUGAGACACGGCCCAGACUCCUACGGGAGGCAGCAGUGGGGGAUAUUGCACAAUGGGGGAAACCCUGAUGCAGCGACGCCGCGUGGAGGAAGAAGGUUUUCGGAUUGUAAACUCCUGUCGUUAGGGACGAUAAUGACGGUACCUAACAAGAAAGCACCGGCUAACUACGUGCCAGCAGCCGCGGUAAAACGUAGGGUGCAAGCGUUGUCCGGAAUUACUGGGUGUAAAGGGAGCGCAGGCGGACCGGCAAGUUGGAAGUGAAAACUAUGGGCUUAACCCAUAAAUUGCUUUCAAAACUGCUGGCCUUGAGUAGUGCAGAGGUAGGUGGA
Molecule: ribosomal RNA, 731 nt
Filed under: uncultured bacterium
Lineage: Bacteria
Description: bacterial SSU rRNA
Rfam family: Bacterial small subunit ribosomal RNA
Source: RNAcentral